RNAcentral lists this long non-coding RNA (473 nucleotides) under Ricinus communis (castor bean). Its description in RNAcentral is "long non-coding RNA (RCOM_LNC000288)". Lineage: Eukaryota; Viridiplantae; Streptophyta; Magnoliopsida; Malpighiales; Euphorbiaceae. The record is from RNAcentral.
CAGGAGAAAAAUGAUCACAAGAAUAGAUAGAAGCUAGAGUGUGAGGACUAGUAAUUGCAAUAGGCAAGUGACAAACAUAGUCCUUAAGAUGUGAAGAUAAAUGCCUUUCUCUAGUAGAUUUCCAUGGCAAUAUGGCUGGAUUUGUAAUGUAGAUGGUUGAGAUGGUGUUUGAGGUAUUGGUAAAGAUGGUGUUUGAGGUGAGGAUUGAGGUGAUGGAUGAGAUGGUGGUGAAGAUGGCAAGUGAGGUAAUGGUGAAGGUGAUUGUUAAGAUGAGGAAGAAAGUGGUGCUGGUAAAGAAAGUGAUGCUGGUAAAGAUUGUUCUAUAAAGGAAGGGGUAGGAGGAUCAAAAAAUGCAGGAAGCGUUGGUAAUGGGUAAGAAAAACAAAAGGAUGAGAUGAAUAAGGAAAACAAUGUUCAUAAAAGAUAACAUCCUUAGAUAUUGAAAUUUAUUUAUUGUGCAAAUCAUAAAUUAG